This is a long non-coding RNA of Lagopus muta (rock ptarmigan), 2982 nucleotides long. RefSeq lists it as uncharacterized. Lineage: Eukaryota; Metazoa; Chordata; Aves; Galliformes; Phasianidae. The transcript is spliced from 2 exons. The record is from RefSeq and is a predicted model, not a curated record.
ACAUGAUGGCAUUACCACCAGUGCAGGAUUGCAACGCUCAACCGGCAGCAUCGACCACAUCGGGCACGUGGGGAUGGUGGCAUCGCUCCCCCUGUCCCACGGCUUUCAUCCUUAAAGUCAUCACAAAAACCUCUUUGGAGAAAGGGGAGCAAAGGGAUGAGUUCCCACCUGAGCCUUCUCUUGAUGCCUCCAGUAUAAAGACACAGCAUGGAGACUGGGGACACCCCCCAAUAGCAUCAUACUGUGUUUUGCCCCCUUAUCUCUACUCAUACUCCAUACAACCACACUCCAACUCGAGCCCAAGCUGCUUGGCACCCUGCUGCCCCUCUUGGGGCUUUUGGAAGCUUCCUGCAAGCUGGCAUCUCGCACCCAGAACCUCCAGAGCCAACAGAACAGCUGCUCCCUCCUGUUAUGAGAAAAGGUUGAGGGAACUGGGCUUGUUUAGCUUGGAGAAGAGAAGGCUCCGGGGAGACCUCAGUGUGGCCUUCCAGUACUUGAAGGGAGCAUAUAAACAGGAGGGGGAACGGCUGUUUAUGAGGGUGGAUGGUGAUAGGACAAGGGGGAAUGGUUUUAAACUGAGACAGGGGAGGGUUAGGUUGGAUAUGAGGAGGAAGUUUUUCCCCCAGAGGGUGGUGAGGCACUGGAACAGGUUGCCCAAGGAGGCUGUGGAUGCCCCAUCCCUGCAGGCAUUCAAGGCCAAGCUGGAUGUGGCUCUGAGCAGCCUGGUCUGCUGGUUGGCGACCUGCACACAGCAGGGGGUUGGAUCUGGAUGAGCAUUGUGGUCCUUUGCAACCCAGGCCAUUCUAUGAUUCUAUGAAUCCCUUGAAAUGACUGGGAUCACAUCUGCUUCCAGCAGACCCCGUGGCCUUUGAAGGCCAGAUCCCAUUUCGGGAUCCGAAAAGCACAAAGCAAAGCAAGGAGAGCAGGCACUGCACCGCCAGCGGAGCUGCCCCGAGUCCUCCCAGCUGUUUGCAAUCAUGCACUGCAGGGGUCAGCGCCGGCACCGCUCCCAAAUUCUGUCUUGCUUCCAUGCCGGCUGUGCAUUUUGCAGUUUCCAGCUCUGUGCACCUCAGCAAGGCCUGGGGAAAGGAGGCACUUUGCAUGCGUCGUUUGGCAAACAAGGAAAGCUUCGUUUAGCCAGAGGGGAAGGUCUGGGGCAGCAAAGCCCCGGCUGCUGCUUGCUUCAGGUUUGCAGGCAAACUGCAGGAAAGGUUGCUGCUCCAUGCAUGCAUCUGUGUGCAUGUGCAUAAGUGCAGUGUGCGUGCACGUACACUAUGCAUGUGCACACAUGUAUAGCAAUUGCAGCACAGCCCAGUUUUCCUCCUUUUUCAUACAAACUAAAAAAAAACCAAACAAGCAAAAAAGAAAACCCAAACAAAUGCCAAUAGGUUCCUCCGAACGCAGCUGAGCUCCUGCCACUGACCAGCAAAGCAGACCAUAAAAUCCAUCCUUGAAGAGCCUUGAAGUGCUGCAAUAAGUGAUAACAAAACACAACUUUUCCAGCCGGCUUCCAAAAGCUGCCCUCUGAAGGCAGAGCUGUUCGACAAACUGCAGCAUGACACAGGCAGGGAAACAGAUAUCUGCACAGAGCCAUCUGCAAAGUUUGGGGUUUUGUUUAAAGAAAGAAAGCUCCUGAGAGCGGGAAGGCGACGGCUUGGUGCAGCGCCAGGACGUGCAGCACAAAACCCAUAAAGCAGCUCCGGCCAGGACAGCAAAUUCCUCCUCCUUCUCCAAACGGAGCAACGAUAUUCUUUUGCAAAAGUAAACUAAGUGCGUGGGGAAAGCAGGCGGGCAGCAGUCCUGUGGGGUGAUUCCCGAGGAGAACACUUUUGGAAGAGGCCUAAAAAUGCACUUUCCGGCACAGGGAGGAGCACGGAGCGGCUUCCCCCGGGAAAGGGCCCCCGGGCUGGCGCUGCAGGGAGCCCGGCCCUGCGGGAAGGCAGCCAGGAAGGAAAAGGCGGCAGCGGCCGAGCGCAAUUUGAAGCUUCGGUGCAGGCAGCAGGACGUGGGUGCAGCAGAAGAGGCGCGCAAGCAAGCAAGCGGGAGUAUGGGCAUGCAUGAGGAGGAGAGCGGCCCGGAGCGGCAGGUGGUGCCAGGCCCGGCCCGGCCCGGCGGAGGGCGUGCACGGGCGCGUCUGUGUGCAGAGACAUGGCUUCAGCGUUAAACCCGUCCUGCUUUUUAACACGGCGUUCAAUGUGCGAUAAAGGAGAGAGUAACGAAUGAGCUGAUCGGCUGUCAGUCCCAAAUCCAGCAGAGUUUCUCCAUGCCGUCCGAAUCUCAUGCCUUCGGGUGUUGUUUGCAUCUCCCUCCAGCUUGGCUGCUGUUGGCUUUGCUAAUUUCUCAUUUAGUGAUGGAGUGUGGGGUGGAUGUUGGGUUAAAACUGCUGGAACUAAACUAAAUGGGGUGGGCUGGAGCUCAGCCUGAGUGAGAGGUAGCAGGGCCACAACCCUGACAAUCCAAAUCCCCAUCUAAGGAUUUCCAUGGUGUUUAAUAGUGAGAUGAAGAAGAAAGUAGGGAAGGCAGGAAUAAAGGAAAAGCAGUAAGAAGAAAGGAAGGAAUAAAGAAAAAGGAAGGAUAAUGCAAAAAGAAAGGAAGGGAAGAAAAGCAUUGUAUUCCAUAGUGUUUGGUAAUCUGAUGAACAGGAAUGAGAAGAGCAGCCAAAGAGCAAUGAGAAAUAGGAAGGAAGGAAUAAAGAAAAAAAGGGGAUGAAAGAAAUGAAGAAGUGUAUUCCAUAGCUAAUAAUGAGAUGAAGGAAGGAAGGAAUAAAGAGGAAGAAAGAAUAAGGAAGGGGAGAUUAAAGAAAGAAAUGAAGAAAGGUGUGGUAUUCCAUGGAGUUUAGUAAUGAGAUGAAUGAAGGAGGGAAGGAAUAAGAAAGGAAGACAGAAAGAGAGGAUGAAAGAAAGAAAUGAAGAAAUGUGUGGUAUUCCGUAGCAUUUAGUAAUUAAAUGGAGGAAACAAUGAGAGGAAGGAAGGAGGGAGGGA